AUGCAUGUCUAAGUACAAACUUUUACACAGUGAAACCGCGAAUGGCUCAUUAAAUCAGUUAUGGUUCCUUAGAUCGUACAAUCCUACUUGGAUAACUGUGGUAAUUCUAGAGCUAAUACAUGCAACCAAGCUCCGACCUCCGGGGAAGAGCGCUUUUAUUAGAUCAAAACCAAUCGGGUCGCAAGGCCCGUCCCAUUGGUGACUCUGGAUAACCUUGGGCUGAUCGCAUGGCCUCGAGCCGGCGACGUAUCUUUCAAAUGUCUGCCCUAUCAACUUUCGAUGGUACGUGAUAUGCCUACCAUUGUGAUAACGGGUAACGGGGAAUCAGGGUUCGAUUCCGGAGAGGGAGCAUGAGAAACGGCUACCACA
This 369-nucleotide ribosomal RNA is filed under the name Amphinomidae sp. USNM IZ 1448856. RNAcentral's name for it is "SSU rRNA". It matches the Rfam family "Eukaryotic small subunit ribosomal RNA", at positions 51 to 414 of the family's 1831-position model. RNAcentral also lists the same sequence under 3 other names. The record is from RNAcentral. Lineage: Eukaryota; Metazoa; Annelida; Polychaeta; Eunicida; Amphinomidae.